CCAGUACCGUGAGGGAAAGGUGAAAAGCACCCCGGAAGGGGAGUGAAAGAGAUCCUGAAACCGUGUGCCUACAAAUAGUCAGAGCCCGUUAAUGGGUGAUGGCGUGCCUUUUGUAGAAUGAACCGGCGAGUUACGAUCCCGUGCGAGGUUAAGCUGAAGAGACGGAGCCGCAGCGAAAGCGAGUCUGAAUAGGGCGUUUAGUACGUGGUCGUAGACCCGAAACCAGGUGAUCUACCCAUGUCCAGGGUGAAGUUCAGGUAACACUGAAUGGAGGCCCGAACCCACGCACGUUGAAAAGUGCGGGGAUGAGGUGUGGGUAGCGGAGAAAUUCCAAUCGAACCUGGAGAUAGCUGGUUCUCCCC
This 362-nucleotide ribosomal RNA is filed under the name Xenorhabdus szentirmaii. RNAcentral's name for it is "partial 23S ribosomal RNA". It matches the Rfam family "Bacterial large subunit ribosomal RNA", at positions 495 to 860 of the family's 2925-position model. Lineage: Bacteria; Pseudomonadati; Pseudomonadota; Gammaproteobacteria; Enterobacterales; Morganellaceae. The record is from RNAcentral.